AUUGAACGCUGGCGGCAUGCUUUACACAUGCAAGUCGAACGGUAACAGGGAGCUUGCUCCGCUGACGAGUGGCGAACGGGUGAGUAAUGCAUCGGAACGUACCCAGUCGUGGGGGGAUAACGUAGCGAAAGUUACGCUAAUACCGCAUACGUCCUGAGGGAGAAAGCGGGGGACCGUAAGGCCUCGCGCGAUUGGAGCGGCCGAUGUCGGAUUAGCUAGUUGGUAGGGUAAAGGCCUACCAAGGCGACGAUCCGUAGCGGGUCUGAGAGGAUGAUCCGCCACACUGGGACUGAGACACGGCCCAGACUCCUACGGGAGGCAGCAGUGGGGAAUUUUGGGACAAUGGGCGCAAGCCUGAUCCAGCCAUGCCGCGUG
RNAcentral lists this ribosomal RNA (375 nucleotides) under uncultured bacterium. RNAcentral describes it as "bacterial SSU rRNA". It matches the Rfam family "Bacterial small subunit ribosomal RNA", at positions 29 to 403 of the family's 1533-position model. The record is from RNAcentral.